AGAGUUUGAUCCUGGCUCAGAAUCAACGCUGGCGGCGUGCCUAACACAUGCAAGUCGCACGAGAAAGGGAUUUCGGUCCUGAGUAAAGUGGCGCACGGGUGAGUAACACGUGACUAACCUGCCCUCGAGUGGGGAAUAACCUAGGGAAACCUGGGCUAAUACCGCAUAACACUUACGAGUCAAAGCAGCAAUGCGCUUGGGGAGGGGGUCGCGGCAGAUUAGCUAGUUGGCGGGGUAAUGGCCCACCAAGGCGAUGAUCUGUAUCCGGCCUGAGAGGGCGCACGGACACACUGGAACUGAAACACGGUCCAGACUCCUACGGGAGGCAGCAGUGGGGAAUUUUGCGCAAUGGGGGAAACCCUGACGCAGCAACGCCGCGUGGAGGAUGAAGUCUCUUGGGACGUAAACUCCUUUCGAUCGGGACGAUAAUGACGGUACCGAUAGAAGAAGCCCCGGCUAACUUCGUGCCAGCAGCCGCGGUAAUACGAGGGGGGCAAGCGUUGUUCGGAAUUAUUGGGCGUAAAGGGCGCGUAGGCGGUUUGGCAAGUUUGAUGUGAAAUCUUCGGGCUCAACUCGAAGUCUGCAUCGAAAACUGCCGGGCUUGAGUAUGGGAGAGGUGAGUGGAAUUUCCGGUGUAGCGGUGAAAUGCGUAGAUAUCGGAAGGAACACCUGUGGCGAAAGCGGCUCACUGGACCAUUACUGACGCUGAGGCGCGAAAGCUAGGGGAGCAAACAGGAUUAGAUACCCUAGUAGUCC
RNAcentral lists this ribosomal RNA (756 nucleotides) under uncultured bacterium. RNAcentral describes it as "bacterial SSU rRNA". It matches the Rfam family "Bacterial small subunit ribosomal RNA", at positions 8 to 796 of the family's 1533-position model. The record is from RNAcentral.